This 419-nucleotide ribosomal RNA is filed under the name Bacteroidota bacterium. Its description in RNAcentral is "Bacteroidetes bacterium partial 16S ribosomal RNA". It matches the Rfam family "Bacterial small subunit ribosomal RNA", at positions 355 to 776 of the family's 1533-position model. The record is from RNAcentral. Lineage: Bacteria; Pseudomonadati; Bacteroidota.
UGGGGGAUAUUGCACAAUGGGCGAAAGCCUGAUGCAGCGACGCCGCGUGGGGGAUGAAGGCCUUCGGGUUGUAAACUUCUUUUGCUCUGAACAAGGCAUGCCAAUGGGUGUGUUGAGUGUAGGGGUUGAUUAGCGCCGGCUAACUACGUGCCAGCAGCCGCGGUAAUACGUAGGGCGCGAGCGUUGUCCGGAAUUAUUGGGCGUAAAGGGCUUGUAGGUGGCUGGUUGCGUCUGUCGUGAAAGCUCAUGGCUUAACUGUGGGUUUGCGGUGGGUACGGGCUGGCUUGAGUGCAGUAGGGGAGGCUGGAAUUCCUGGGGUAGCGGUGGAAUGCGCAGAUAUCAGGAGGAAUACCGGUGGCGAAGGCGGGUCUCUGGGCUGUUACUGACACUGAGGAGCGAAAGCAUGGGGAGCGAACAGG